Molecule: long non-coding RNA, 420 nt
Organism: Elaeis guineensis (African oil palm)
Lineage: Eukaryota; Viridiplantae; Streptophyta; Magnoliopsida; Arecales; Arecaceae
Source: RefSeq, a predicted model, not a curated record
UCCCGCUUCUUGUUUCUCUUCCCCUCUCUCGAAGCUACGCGUGCGCUUCUCCGUUCUCUCGAUCGAACGAAAUGGAGGAGGAAAUCGGGGGACGCGGAAGUCGAAUCGCAGAGCUAAUGUGACUGGCAGAGUCAUCCAUGAAUGGUAUGGUAGAAGUGAUGACGGCGUCAAAGAGGGAAUUGAGGACUAGACUAGGGUGGGCUUGAUCUAAUAGAGCUGGGCAUGCUUGGGGGCAUCAAGGUGGCAGGGUGGUUGCAGUAAGGAUCAUUCUGGAGCAUGUGCAUGGUAGGGAUGAUUCAGUAAGGUUGAUGUCAAAGCUAAGGUUGGUGGUGCUGUAAUUAAAGCUGAGCUCAAAGAUGUGCUUGUAAGAGUAACCUGGUUAUCUGAAUAAAGUUAUAAUCAUAAUCCUAAUAUUGAACU